GCUGAAGCAGUCAUUCCUAAGAGAACCGAACCCCUCAUCACCCAGGCCAAGACAAUCACUCCUGAGAGUACCAAGUCCCUUAGCACCCAGGCCUCAGUCAACAAAAAGACUCGGGCAACACAAAGGCAACUGAUAUUUUUCAGAGUAUGCAUAUUUGGUGUCUAGAAGGAAGGAAAUCCAGUGACAUCAUGGAGUUGGAUAUUAUUUUGUCUGCACUUGAGAAAAUCUUCCUGCAAUAUCAACAAAGAAUUGAAUCCACAGUUUGUAAAGAAGCUGUC
Perognathus longimembris pacificus (Pacific pocket mouse) is the source of this 278-nucleotide long non-coding RNA. RefSeq lists it as uncharacterized. The record is from RefSeq and is a predicted model, not a curated record. The transcript has 3 exons. Lineage: Eukaryota; Metazoa; Chordata; Mammalia; Rodentia; Heteromyidae.